RNAcentral lists this ribosomal RNA (352 nucleotides) under uncultured bacterium. RNAcentral's name for it is "bacterial SSU rRNA". It matches the Rfam family "Bacterial small subunit ribosomal RNA", at positions 411 to 754 of the family's 1533-position model. The record is from RNAcentral.
AAGGCCUUCGGGUUGUAAAGCACUUUCAGCGAGGAGGAAAGGUUGAGCGCCUAAUACGUGUCAACUGUGACGUUACUCGCAGAAGAAGCACCGGCUAACUCCGUGCCAGCAGCCGCGGUAAUACGGAGGGUGCAAGCGUUAAUCGGAAUUACUGGGCGUAAAGCGCACGCAGGCGGUUGGAUAAGUUAGAUGUGAAAGCCCCGGGCUCAACCUGGGAAUUGCAUUUAAAACUGUCCAGCUAGAGUCUUGUAGAGGGGGGUAGAAUUCCAGGUGUAGCGGUGAAAUGCGUAGAGAUCUGGAGGAAUACCGGUGGCGAAGGCGGCCCCCUGGACAAAGACUGACGCUCAGGUGC